UGAGGAAUAUUGGUCAAUGGGCGCAAGCCUGAACCAGCCAUCCCGCGUGCAGGAAGAAGGCGCUAUGCGUUGUAAACUGCUUUUCCAGGGGGCGAACGUUUCGUACGUGUACGGGAGUGACGGUACCUUGGGAAUAAGCAUCGGCUAACUCCGUGCCAGCAGCCGCGGUAAUACGGAGGAUGCGAGCGUUAUCCGGAUUUAUUGGGUUUAAAGGGUGCGUAGGCGGAUUAAUAAGUCAGUGGUGAAAGUCUGCAGCUUAACUGUGGCACUGCCGUUGAUACUGUUAGUCUUGAGUAUGGUCAAGGUAGGCGGAAUGUGUAAUGUAGCGGUGAAAUGCUUAGAUAUUACACAGAACACCGAUUGCGAAGGCAGCUUACUGGGCCGUUACUGACGCUGAUGCACGAAAGCGUGGGGAUCGAACAG
This 423-nucleotide ribosomal RNA is filed under the name uncultured bacterium. RNAcentral describes it as "bacterial SSU rRNA". It matches the Rfam family "Bacterial small subunit ribosomal RNA", at positions 355 to 775 of the family's 1533-position model. The record is from RNAcentral.